CCUCGGGAGGCAGCAGUGGGGAAUAUUGGACAAUGGGCGAAAGCCUGAUCCAGCCAUGCCGCGUGUGUGAAGAAGGCCUUCGGGUUGUAAAGCACUUUCAGUGGGGAAGAAAGCCUUGGGGCUAAUACCCUCGAGGAAGGACAUCACCCACAGAAGAAGCACCGGCUAACUCCGUGCCAGCAGCCGCGGUAAUACGGGGGGUGCGAGCGUUAAUCGGAAUUACUGGGCGUAAAGCGCGCGUAGGCGGUCUGAUAAGCCGGUUGUGAAAGCCCCGGGCUCAACCUGGGAACGGCAUCCGGAACUGUCAGGCUAGAGUGCAGGAGAGGAAGGUAGAAUUCCCGGUGUAGCGGUGAAAUGCGUAGAGAUCGGGAGGAAUACCAGUGGCGAAGGCGGCCUUCUGGACUGACACUGACGCUGAGGUGCGAAAGCGUGGGUAGCAAACAGGAUUAGAUACCCUAGUAGUC
Molecule: ribosomal RNA, 464 nt
Filed under: Vreelandella stevensii
Lineage: Bacteria; Pseudomonadati; Pseudomonadota; Gammaproteobacteria; Oceanospirillales; Halomonadaceae
Description: partial 16S ribosomal RNA
Rfam family: Bacterial small subunit ribosomal RNA
Source: RNAcentral